CAGCCUCACACUAGCCCAUACUUGACCAGUUAUGGCCCUAUAAUAACGUCGUCAGCCGUCGUUAAGAUCAUAGUUUACUACAACCACCCUGGAUCCCUGCCCUGAUCUACAGCUUUCAUUCUGAGGGUUAUUAUUAUAAAUCGAUUUUAAUAACCUACGUCAGUUGCGCAACGUACGGCAGCGCCUGACGUAGGUAAUGUUGGUUCUCUGACCGCGCGUCGAUCUCCGAUCUCCUUCCACCGCAAAGUUACACAGUGGAUACAAACUAAUUCAAAAGUAUAUCCCGAUUAUUUCGCGGUUGUUUUAUUAUUAUUAAUAUUCUUUAUUAAAAGACAAGCCAGCAUACCGUUCCCAAAGCUGUCUCCUGGAUGCUUCUGGUCCUCGCCUUGCCGGUUCGUAAAACACAUCACAGUCGUGGCCAGCCUUCUGGAAGACCACCGUGACGUCCGCCUCGGCCCGGCGGGGGACGACGCGUAGCGCCCGGUCCUCUCCUAUCAUCUGAUCGCCUCGCUCAGUGCGGUCGUCCAUGGGGGCAGAACGAAAACACAACCCGACUCCUGCGGGACAACCAAAACUUUCCCUCCUCUCCCUCCCUCCCCAGUACCCUGACUCGUGUUUACCCUAUGAGUUCUCAGGUUCCCAGCCAAUGGUUCCCACACAGCCCAGUGGCGUGACACCCCACUACAUAGGAUAGGAUAACACUCACAAAUAGGGUAUUAGGAUAUCCUCGUUUGUCCUGCUUGUUAUCUCUUUUCAUUAUAAACUAUUAGAUUAAAUUAUGAUUCCCAGAUGGGACAUUCGGGUGAACCUGCAGAAAGCAUGGCUACAGGACAGCAGUGGAAUUGAAAAAAAAAAUACUAAAACACAUUUUUAUAACAAUAUAACUUAGAAAAUAUUUAUAUCAUUACAAUUUGAGUAACAUAAAUGUAUAUGAAUGAAUGAAUGUAGUCAAUAUCAAAAGUAGAAGUUGUUAUUAUUGACAAUAAUAAUGUCUACUGUAUGAUAGGCAGCCUACAUUAUUAUUAACAACCAGGCCUAUGUUGUUGUACCAAAAGCGCAUGACAAAUAAGUCUAUAAAUCCAGCCAUACAUUGUACACGGAAAUGUUCUGCAACAAGACAUCCAAACAGAUUUACAUUUGUUUAUUUCAGACAUUUUAUAAACAUGAUACGACACAUCAAGUAGGACUAUUAACAAAGAGCUACCAAAAGCUAUUAUAUUUUCUAGUACAUUUUUGCUAAAUCUUGUUGACACAAAGAGGCCUAUGAGUGAGCUAGCACACUAGUUUGUUGCAUGUUAUUCAAGUUGUUCUCUAUCUAAAUGACACGUAUGAAAGUCAAACCACUUGAAAUAUAGUCCCAUCUAUCGUCAUACAAAAGCAGUAUCAUAUAAAUUACUUUACAAGCAUUAUAAAAACGUAAACAAUUAAUUUGGCAGAUGGACUUGGGUGACCAUGUUAUUAACAAAAGGAGUGUGUUGAUGUGUGCGUGUGUGUGUUUCCUCAAGGUUGAAUGAGUUUGACGUGUGAAAAGAUACAACAAACAGCGGUUAUUUUACAGAUAGGCUUACGAGUGUAAAGACAACAAUUGCUUUGUCUGCGGGGGAGAAAGGGGGGUGAAAGAGAGAGAUAGAGGGCUACAGAGGGCGGCUUCUAGCACACGGGCCUCCCUCUGGAGCUUUCAGUGUUAUUGAGGGUUUCUGUAGCAUGAAUUCUUCUAGUUGUGCUGAAGUGCACUGGUGGAAAGUCCUACACCAAGUACAAUCCAGAGAUAUUCAUAAGGUGCUUAAGGAAUUCAAUUUCAUAAGGAUUUAGGGAAAUACUUUUUUAAUCCACUACAUGUCAAAGAAAAUAUUUGUACAAGGGAUUGGCCUGUAUUCAGUUAAAAUAAAAACGGGAUUGGCCUGUAUUGAGUUAAAAUAAAAACCCUUAUACAUAAUAUUAUAGGUGAACCAAAAUAGGAUCCUUGACCGACAGGGCUUACUUUGCAUAAAAAAAUAGAAUGUGACUUCAUACCAAAACAUGGGGGUUACAAUAUUAGUAUUUUUUACUUUUGAUACGCAAGUAUUAAUUGUGUCAAAGGUUCUUAGGGUAGGGUAUUUCUAUGUCCACUACAUUAGGAUAGGAAUACUUGUCCGCCACUGCUAAAUCAUUUCCAUGACAGUUAGCCAAUAUUUCUUUAGGUUGGAAGUCUGUUCAGAAACAGGUCAAGAUGUUUGCCCAGAACCUAUUGACAGAAUAAGCUCCAUGUUGAGUAUAUAUUUGUGUAGGAUUUAAAUAAUUGAUUAAGGUACUGGAUCAAAGGUGCCAUCUACAGUACAGCCUCCAGUCAGGAUGAAAAUACUAAUGUUAAAUUCAAGCUCCUUGUCUGGUCUUAGACAACGAGCAAACACAUUAAUAAAUACAAAUAAUUGCCACUACUUAAUGCAAAUUUACUGCAAGAUUAUUUGACAUUUGUUUCAAAAUCGAAAUGCUGAAUGUUGUGUAUUUCUCCUUAAACUGUGAUUAAACAUUUGGAGACUA
This is a long non-coding RNA of Gadus morhua (Atlantic cod), 2520 nucleotides long. RefSeq lists it as uncharacterized. The transcript has 3 exons. The record is from RefSeq and is a predicted model, not a curated record. Lineage: Eukaryota; Metazoa; Chordata; Actinopteri; Gadiformes; Gadidae.